RNAcentral lists this ribosomal RNA (2923 nucleotides) under Klebsiella sp. LY. RNAcentral describes it as "23S ribosomal RNA". It matches the Rfam family "Bacterial large subunit ribosomal RNA". The record is from RNAcentral. Lineage: Bacteria; Pseudomonadati; Pseudomonadota; Gammaproteobacteria; Enterobacterales; Enterobacteriaceae.
GGGUUGUGAGGUUAAGCGACUAAGCGUACACGGUGGAUGCCCUGGCAGUCAGAGGCGAUGAAGGACGUGCUAAUCUGCGAAAAGCGUCGGUAAGGUGAUAUGAACCGUUACAGCCGGCGAUGUCCGAAUGGGGAAACCCAGUGUGAUUCGUCACACUAUCGUUAACUGAAUACAUAGGUUAACGAGGCGAACCGGGGGAACUGAAACAUCUAAGUACCCCGAGGAAAAGAAAUCAACCGAGAUUCCCCCAGUAGCGGCGAGCGAACGGGGAGCAGCCCAGAGUCUGAAUCAGCUUGUGUGUUAGUGGAACGGUCUGGAAAGUCCGACGGUACAGGGUGAUAGUCCCGUACACCAAAAUGCACAGGCUGUGAACUCGAAGAGUAGGGCGGGACACGUGGUAUCCUGUCUGAAUAUGGGGGGACCAUCCUCCAAGGCUAAAUACUCCUGACUGACCGAUAGUGAACCAGUACCGUGAGGGAAAGGCGAAAAGAACCCCGGCGAGGGGAGUGAAAAAGAACCUGAAACCGUGUACGUACAAGCAGUGGGAGCACCUUCGGGUGUGACUGCGUACCUUUUGUAUAAUGGGUCAGCGACUUAUAUUCUGUAGCAAGGUUAACCGUAUAGGGGAGCCGCAGGGAAACCGAGUCUUAACUGGGCGUUAAGUUGCAGGGUAUAGACCCGAAACCCGGUGAUCUAGCCAUGGGCAGGUUGAAGGUUGGGUAACACUAACUGGAGGACCGAACCGACUAAUGUUGAAAAAUUAGCGGAUGACUUGUGGCUGGGGGUGAAAGGCCAAUCAAACCGGGAGAUAGCUGGUUCUCCCCGAAAGCUAUUUAGGUAGCGCCUCGUGAACUCAUCUUCGGGGGUAGAGCACUGUUUCGGCUAGGGGGUCAUCCCGACUUACCAACCCGAUGCAAACUACGAAUACCGAAGAAUGUUAUCACGGGAGACACACGGCGGGUGCUAACGUCCGUCGUGAAGAGGGAAACAACCCAGACCGCCAGCUAAGGUCCCAAAGUCAUGGUUAAGUGGGAAACGAUGUGGGAAGGCACAGACAGCCAGGAUGUUGGCUUAGAAGCAGCCAUCAUUUAAAGAAAGCGUAAUAGCUCACUGGUCGAGUCGGCCUGCGCGGAAGAUGUAACGGGGCUAAACCAUGCACCGAAGCUGCGGCAGCGACACGAUGUGUUGUUGGGUAGGGGAGCGUUCUGUAAGCCUGCGAAGGUGACCUGUGAGGGUUGCUGGAGGUAUCAGAAGUGCGAAUGCUGACAUAAGUAACGAUAAAGCGGGUGAAAAGCCCGCUCGCCGGAAGACCAAGGGUUCCUGUCCAACGUUAAUCGGGGCAGGGUGAGUCGACCCCUAAGGCGAGGCCGAAAGGCGUAGUCGAUGGGAAACAGGUUAAUAUUCCUGUACUUGGUGUUACUGCGAAGGGGGGACGGAGAAGGCUAUGUUAGCCGGGCGACGGUUGUCCCGGUUUAAGCAUGUAGGCUGGUUAUCCAGGCAAAUCCGGAUAAUCAAGGCUGAGGUGUGAUGACGAGGCACUACGGUGCUGAAGUAACAAAUGCCCUGCUUCCAGGAAAAGCCUCUAAGCAUCAGGUAACACGAAAUCGUACCCCAAACCGACACAGGUGGUCAGGUAGAGAAUACCAAGGCGCUUGAGAGAACUCGGGUGAAGGAACUAGGCAAAAUGGUGCCGUAACUUCGGGAGAAGGCACGCUGGUGUGUAGGUGAAGCCCCUGCGGGUGGAGCUGAGACCAGUCGAAGAUACCAGCUGGCUGCAACUGUUUAUUAAAAACACAGCACUGUGCAAACACGAAAGUGGACGUAUACGGUGUGACGCCUGCCCGGUGCCGGAAGGUUAAUUGAUGGGGUUAUCCGUAAGGAGAAGCUCUUGAUCGAAGCCCCGGUAAACGGCGGCCGUAACUAUAACGGUCCUAAGGUAGCGAAAUUCCUUGUCGGGUAAGUUCCGACCUGCACGAAUGGCGUAAUGAUGGCCAGGCUGUCUCCACCCGAGACUCAGUGAAAUUGAACUCGCUGUGAAGAUGCAGUGUACCCGCGGCAAGACGGAAAGACCCCGUGAACCUUUACUAUAGCUUGACACUGAACAUUGAGCCUUGAUGUGUAGGAUAGGUGGGAGGCUUUGAAGCGUGGACGCCAGUCUGCGUGGAGCCAACCUUGAAAUACCACCCUUUAAUGUUUGAUGUUCUAACGUUGGCCCCUUAUCGGGGUUGCGGACAGUGUCUGGUGGGUAGUUUGACUGGGGCGGUCUCCUCCCAAAGCGUAACGGAGGAGCACGAAGGUUAGCUAAUCCUGGUCGGACAUCAGGAGGUUAGUGCAAUGGCAUAAGCUAGCUUGACUGCGAGCGUGACGGCGCGAGCAGGUGCGAAAGCAGGUCAUAGUGAUCCGGUGGUUCUGAAUGGAAGGGCCAUCGCUCAACGGAUAAAAGGUACUCCGGGGAUAACAGGCUGAUACCGCCCAAGAGUUCAUAUCGACGGCGGUGUUUGGCACCUCGAUGUCGGCUCAUCACAUCCUGGGGCUGAAGUAGGUCCCAAGGGUAUGGCUGUUCGCCAUUUAAAGUGGUACGCGAGCUGGGUUUAGAACGUCGUGAGACAGUUCGGUCCCUAUCUGCCGUGGGCGCUGGAGAAUUGAGGGGGGCUGCUCCUAGUACGAGAGGACCGGAGUGGACGCAUCACUGGUGUUCGGGUUGUCAUGCCAAUGGCACUGCCCGGUAGCUAAAUGCGGAAGAGAUAAGUGCUGAAAGCAUCUAAGCACGAAACUUGCCCCGAGAUGAGUUCUCCCUGAGACUUUAAGUCUCCUGAAGGAACGUUGAAGACGACGACGUUGAUAGGCCGGGUGUGUAAGCGCAGCGAUGCGUUGAGCUAACCGGUACUAAUGAACCGUGAGGCUUAACCUUACAACGCCGAAG